This 76-nucleotide transfer RNA is filed under the name Chitinivibrionales bacterium. Its description in RNAcentral is "tRNA-Thr". It matches the Rfam family "tRNA". Rfam says of the family: Transfer RNA (tRNA) molecules are approximately 80 nucleotides in length. Their secondary structure includes four short double-helical elements and three loops (D, anti-codon, and T loops). The record is from RNAcentral. Lineage: Bacteria; Pseudomonadati; Fibrobacterota; Chitinivibrionia; Chitinivibrionales.
GCCAGCAUAGCUCAGUUGGUAGAGCAACGCAUUCGUAAUGCGUGGGUCGGGGGUUCGAGUCCCUUUGCUGGCUCCA